AGUGAACGCUGGCGGUAGGCCUAACACAUGCAAGUCGAACGGCAGCACAGGAGAGCUUGCUCUCUGGGUGGCGAGUGGCGGACGGGUGAGGAAUACAUCGGAAUCUACUCUGUCGUGGGGGAUAACGUAGGGAAACUUACGCUAAUACCGCAUACGACCUACGGGUGAAAGCAGGGGACCUUCGGGCCUUGCGCGGUUGAAUGAGCCGAUGUCGGAUUAGUUAGUUGGCGGGGUAAAGGCCCACCAAGGCGACGAUCCGUAGCUGGUCUGAGAGGAUGAUCAGCCACACUGGAACUGAGACACGGUCCAGACUCCUACGGGAGGCAGCAGUGGGGAAUAUUGGACAAUGGGCGCAAGCCUGAUCCAGCCAUACCGCGUGGGUGAAGAAGGCCUUCGGGUUGUAAAGCCCUUUUGUUGGGAAAGAAAUCCAGCCGGCUAAUACCCGGUUGGGAUGACGGUACCCAAAGAAUAAGCACCGGCUAACUUCGUGCCAGCAGCCGCCGUAA
RNAcentral lists this ribosomal RNA (506 nucleotides) under uncultured bacterium. Its description in RNAcentral is "partial 16S ribosomal RNA". It matches the Rfam family "Bacterial small subunit ribosomal RNA", at positions 29 to 523 of the family's 1533-position model. The record is from RNAcentral.